This 422-nucleotide ribosomal RNA is filed under the name uncultured bacterium. Its description in RNAcentral is "bacterial SSU rRNA". It matches the Rfam family "Bacterial small subunit ribosomal RNA", at positions 355 to 774 of the family's 1533-position model. The record is from RNAcentral.
UGAGGAAUAUUGGUCAAUGGGCGCAAGCCUGAACCAGCCAUCCCGCGUGAAGGAUGAAGGCCCUAUGGGUCGUAAACUUCUUUUAUACACCAAGAAAAAGCAGGACGAGUCCUGCCCCGACGGUAGUGUAUGAAUAAGCACCGGCUAACUCCGUGCCAACAGCCGCGGUAAUACGGAGGGUGCGAGCGUUGUCCGGAUUUAUUGGGUUUAAAGGGUGCGUAGGUGGCUUUAUAAGUCAGUGGUGAAAUACAGCCGCUCAACGGUCGAGGUGCCAUUGAUACUGAAAAGCUUGAGUACAAUUGAGGUAAGCGGAAUGUGUAGUGUAGCGGUGAAAUGCUUAGAGAUUACACAGAACACCAAUUGCGAAGGCAGCUUACUAAACUGUUACUGACGCUGAUGCACGAAAGCGUGGGGAGCGAACA